Long non-coding RNA from Panicum virgatum (switchgrass), 825 nucleotides. RefSeq lists it as uncharacterized. NCBI's taxonomy places the organism in Eukaryota, Viridiplantae, Streptophyta, Magnoliopsida, Poales, Poaceae. The transcript is spliced from 2 exons. The record is from RefSeq and is a predicted model, not a curated record.
AUCGCUUCUUUCCCUCAUCGGCCACCGCUUCAUCUUGUGUCGCUGCUCUUCUUGGCGUGAUUAUUCGCCAGCUUUUUCGCCUUACAUAGACUGAAAAAUUUAGGGUUUUCAGCGUGUUUCCCGUUUGCUUGGCUAUGUUUCCUUCGGUAGUUAUUACAAUCUCUAGACAAGAGUUACGCCAACACAAUAUUCAGUCUCCGGAAGUGUAUGCUUGACGAAGUAGGAUGGUCUCCAUGAGGGAGCUGAGCGACCAUUGGUUUCAAGAACCUAUCAAUUGUUCCUUCUUUUUGAAAAAUAGGGGCCAUGGAGAAAAACAGCAAUGACGUGUUUCGAUGUAUUGCUGCAAAUUGCAUUGACAAGUCAUGACUAAAAAGCAUGUCUUUAGCUUUCAAGGCGUGAGUGACAUUGCGUAAUCUUCUACUCUAAAUUAUAUGCGUGCACUUACGAAUGGCAGCAUAAAGCAGAGUGAUCUAAUGUCGUCGUCUUCUUUAUUUUUCACUUUUCAGUCCAAAACUUCCAUGAGCUUUCAGCAUGGUGGUUGUUAUUAUUAUCCAUGAGGGAAAGGUACGCAUCAGUUAGCAGUCAGCAUCUCUAGAAGACCAGAACAUCAUGGGCACAUAAACAAUGUCUCCAUCCGGGAAAAGGAGUGAACUAGAUUAGCGGAAGGCUGUUAUAAGAAGAUGCUUCAUUCCAAGGGCAUCAUCAUUGAUAGCAUUUGUUAUCUUAUAGUAGCAUCUUUGAGUUUAUUAUGUUCUAAAGACUAAAUUAUCGUUAAAAAACGAGUUCUCUUUUGACCAACUGUUCAACAAGAUUCUUUGUUCAUUA